RNAcentral lists this transfer RNA (108 nucleotides) under Acidilobales archaeon. Its description in RNAcentral is "tRNA-OTHER". It matches the Rfam family "tRNA". Rfam says of the family: Transfer RNA (tRNA) molecules are approximately 80 nucleotides in length. The record is from RNAcentral. Lineage: Archaea; Thermoproteati; Thermoproteota; Thermoprotei; Acidilobales.
GGGCCCGUAGUCUAGCUUGGCUAGGAUGCGGGGCACCUUCGCAAGAAGGCCCGACUCGGGACCAAGCGAGAAUCCCCGUGAUCCCGGGUUCAAAUCCCGGCGGGCCCA